AAAAUCCGUCGACUUUUAAAAUCGUGAGGGUUCAAGUCCCUUUUGGUUCAAGUCCCUCUAUCCCCA
RNAcentral lists this transfer RNA (66 nucleotides) under Passerina nivicola. RNAcentral describes it as "tRNA-Leu(UAA)". The record is from RNAcentral. Lineage: Eukaryota; Viridiplantae; Streptophyta; Magnoliopsida; Malvales; Thymelaeaceae.